AUUCAACGACAAUUCGCGCGUCUGCAAACACUUCACGAUCGAACGGUUGCUUAUUGCGUUUGUUGCGGUAAUUAGCUUGUUAAUUAACUGGACGUUUGUAGCAUUAAAAAGAUUGCGAAACGGUGGAAUCGAAAGGCGUAGGUUUUGAAGAGACAUGACUAUAAAAUGUGAUGCGAGACGCUAUGAACGAAAGAUGCAUUGGAUCGAUAUAGUUGAAGAGAAGAGCGAAGAUCCUCUUCCAAAGAUGCUCGAGCAAC
Molecule: unclassified non-coding RNA, 257 nt
Filed under: Bombus terrestris (buff-tailed bumblebee)
Lineage: Eukaryota; Metazoa; Arthropoda; Insecta; Hymenoptera; Apidae
Description: misc RNA ENSBTSG00005025229.1
Source: RNAcentral